This is a long non-coding RNA of Homo sapiens (human), 2208 nucleotides long. RefSeq lists it as uncharacterized. Lineage: Eukaryota; Metazoa; Chordata; Mammalia; Primates; Hominidae. The transcript has 3 exons. The record is from RefSeq and is marked validated.
AGCAGACUCUACAGAUCAUAGUGGGGCUCCCAGGGUGACUGAAGGGGAAUGAGGUAGAGGGAGAGUUUCCCUCUUCAGCUGGACUUUUUGCUGCCUCAAAAAUUCAGUUGAUUGGGUUAGCUUUACAUAUGAUCUAAUCAGUCCAAUGCAGUCACAUUUGAUCUAAUCAUCUCCCCCACUUUCAAGCUAGGAAAGGAUAUUUUAUUUGGUGUUUAUUUUUUCUCUGCAUUAUUAUCUUAUCACAUAUGCCUACAUCUAAUAUAAUGAACUAUAAUUUGAUAUUUGUCAUUUCCAAGCAUUUGAGAAAUUAUAACAUCUGUGUGUACAAUUUUAACACUACAUAUAAUUUUCUUCAUGUGCAAAAUAUAUAUACACAUGUCAAUAUGUGGUCUGUCUAAUUCUGCAUCUUGAAAUCUGGGCAGGGUCUUAAAUACUUCUAGGUGGGUAUUGGAGCACAAAUCAGAUAAGCAUAAGUUCCUUGCAUUCCUGUUCCUGUGCCCCCAGCUUUGAAUUCCUGCUUAUUAACACGAUGAUGGGGCUCUGCAAGUCUCCCCUUAUCUGUAUCUAGGUCCCCAGGGCAUUCACUGAUGGAAAAAUUUCUUACUGAGGUCAUGAUGAGUGGCAGGAGGGAGCAGUCUCUUCAGCCAAUAGGACUGACCCAUGUCCAGCUUAAGGGCUUAGAAAAGCAGGUUCACAAGAACAACCUGCACCUGAUUCUGGGCAUGUGAGAGAGAGCAAGCACCUUUCACUGGAGCUUCACCAUAGGAUGGGGAACUGAAGACCAGACUCCCACUGCCCCUCCAUCCAAUGCCCCAUUGACCCACCUUUUUUCCAACAGGUCUCCUUUACAGAAAGGGGCUUGGAUAAGGAGGAAAGACCAUCAGAAGAAAAGAUAAGACACUCUCUUCUCAUUCCAGUAAGAGCCACAUGCAAGGCAAGAAUCAGAGUCCAGCUCAGAUGGGGGAACUCUAGGAAGAGAGAAAUCCAUUCCAUGGACAGCUGCCAAGAUAGAGCAGGACAGCAUCAAGGACAUGAGCCAAAAGUGCAAAAGGACUGCUUGACUUUGGAAAAGAAACCAAAGGCCUCUGACACUGUACACAUCAGUGAAAUGAGGAGACCCAUGAUGCCUGCUGUGGGGGACCCCCAGAGGCCCACACCGGGCACAGCGAGCGGCCCAGAUCUCAGUCUCUAGGAGACCACCCACUACCACUUCAGAAAAGCCUGGUGACCUCUCUGCACACUCCAUCUGAAGCCAUUUAUCACAACACAGCCCAGGUGUGGGAACAGUAGGCCUAUUCUCUGCUGACCUGGGAGCAGCUGUCUGAGCUCACCUGGCUCCAGGGGCCUCUGUGCUGUGGUACAAACCUGUGCCAUGGCCACCCAGGUGGCCUAUGUCUUUCGCACUGAGGGCUGGCUCAUCCCAGCCAUACUCCCUGGUCCCUAGGGUGGAGAAGCUCAGAACUCCUCCUAGGAAGAAAAUGGAUCCACCCUUUCCCUGGAGAGGAGAUAAAGGAGCCUGUUGGUGGAUCAAAUGAGGCUUUAGCUGGGGUCGCCCAGGCCCUAUUCAACAGAGGACACAGCUGUGUGAGUGAGAACAAAGACCUGCUACUUCUCAGGCAAUUUUAGACACACUGUGUUAAUACAUGACACAACUGGGGGCACUCUUGGGAAAGGAGUUUGAACAAUAUCCUCAAAGUGGAAACUGUGUUUCGUUUAGGUCUAAAACCACUGACAAAUUUUGUAUUUCAUGUUAGACAUUUGAUGUUUUUGGAUGUUUUAUGACAGUCACGCAUUUCUUUGUAAUCAGAAAAUAUUAGGGUAUAAUCAUUCAUAUGUGUUUGUGUAUUGAAAAGUACAGCAAAAUGAAGAUAUAUGUAGAUCCUCCCCCUAUAAGUCAAAAAGACUGUAGCUCUUUUCUCUCCCACCCUGAGUCAAUAAAGGACUGAUAUCUACUAACCUUUAAUAGCAUUCUCUAUGGAGAAAUGUUGGUAUUUUUUCAAUUUGAGGAAAUGAUAAAAUCACCAUGCUAUUGUUUCAUUUUCUUUGUUCUAAAACUUUCAGAAUGUAUUAAGUGCUUGUUGAUCAUAUUUUUAUUUAUUCUUCAACCUGGAUUAUAUUUUUUGCCUAAUUUUAAUCUUCCAUUUUACAGAUUUCAAUUGAGCUUAUUUUUUAAAACAGGUUGAUUAAAGUAUAAUUAACUUUCAGUAA